RNAcentral lists this ribosomal RNA (1743 nucleotides) under Escherichia coli. Its description in RNAcentral is "partial 23S ribosomal RNA". It matches the Rfam family "Bacterial large subunit ribosomal RNA", at positions 419 to 2147 of the family's 2925-position model. Lineage: Bacteria; Pseudomonadati; Pseudomonadota; Gammaproteobacteria; Enterobacterales; Enterobacteriaceae. The record is from RNAcentral.
GGGACACGUGGUAUCCUGUCUGAAUAUGGGGGGACCAUCCUCCAAGGCUAAAUACUCCUGACUGACCGAUAGUGAACCAGUACCGUGAGGGAAAGGCGAAAAGAACCCCGGCGAGGGGAGUGAAAAAGAACCUGAAACCGUGUACGUACAAGCAGUGGGAGCACGCUUAGGCGUGUGACUGCGUACCUUUUGUAUAAUGGGUCAGCGACUUAUAUUCUGUAGCAAGGUUAACCGAAUAGGGGAGCCGAAGGGAAACCGAGUCUUAACUGGGCGUUAAGUUGCAGGGUAUAGACCCGAAACCCGGUGAUCUAGCCAUGGGCAGGUUGAAGGUUGGGUAACACUAACUGGAGGACCGAACCGACUAAUGUUGAAAAAUUAGCGGAUGACUUGUGGCUGGGGGUGAAAGGCCAAUCAAACCGGGAGAUAGCUGGUUCUCCCCGAAAGCUAUUUAGGUAGCGCCUCGUGAAUUCAUCUCCGGGGGUAGAGCACUGUUUCGGCAAGGGGGUCAUCCCGACUUACCAACCCGAUGCAAACUGCGAAUACCGGAGAAUGUUAUCACGGGAGACACACGGCGGGUGCUAACGUCCGUCGUGAAGAGGGAAACAACCCAGACCGCCAGCUAAGGUCCCAAAGUCAUGGUUAAGUGGGAAACGAUGUGGGAAGGCCCAGACAGCCAGGAUGUUGGCUUAGAAGCAGCCAUCAUUUAAAGAAAGCGUAAUAGCUCACUGGUCGAGUCGGCCUGCGCGGAAGAUGUAACGGGGCUAAACCAUGCACCGAAGCUGCGGCAGCGACGCUUAUGCGUUGUUGGGUAGGGGAGCGUUCUGUAAGCCUGUGAAGGUGUGCUGUGAGGCAUGCUGGAGGUAUCAGAAGUGCGAAUGCUGACAUAAGUAACGAUAAAGCGGGUGAAAAGCCCGCUCGCCGGAAGACCAAGGGUUCCUGUCCAACGUUAAUCGGGGCAGGGUGAGUCGACCCCUAAGGCGAGGCCGAAAGGCGUAGUCGAUGGGAAACAGGUUAAUAUUCCUGUACUUGGUGUUACUGCGAAGGGGGGACGGAGAAGGCUAUGUUGGCCGGGCGACGGUUGUCCCGGUUUAAGCGUGUAGGCUGGUUUUCCAGGCAAAUCCGGAAAAUCAAGGCUGAGGCGUGAUGACGAGGCACUACGGUGCUGAAGCAACAAAUGCCCUGCUUCCAGGAAAAGCCUCUAAGCAUCAGGUAACAUCAAAUCGUACCCCAAACCGACACAGGUGGUCAGGUAGAGAAUACCAAGGCGCUUGAGAGAACUCGGGUGAAGGAACUAGGCAAAAUGGUGCCGUAACUUCGGGAGAAGGCACGCUGAUAUGUAGGUGAAGCGACUUGCUCGUGGAGCUGAAAUCAGUCGAAGAUACCAGCUGGCUGCAACUGUUUAUUAAAAACACAGCACUGUGCAAACACGAAAGUGGACGUAUACGGUGUGACGCCUGCCCGGUGCCGGAAGGUUAAUUGAUGGGGUCAGCGCAAGCGAAGCUCUUGAUCGAAGCCCCGGUAAACGGCGGCCGUAACUAUAACGGUCCUAAGGUAGCGAAAUUCCUUGUCGGGUAAGUUCCGACCUGCACGAAUGGCGUAAUGAUGGCCAGGCUGUCUCCACCCGAGACUCAGUGAAAUUGAACUCGCUGUGAAGAUGCAGUGUACCCGCGGCAAGACGGAAAGACCCCGUGAACCUUUACUAUAGCUUGACACUGAACAUUGAGCCUUGAUGUGUAGGAUAGG